RNAcentral lists this ribosomal RNA (501 nucleotides) under uncultured bacterium. Its description in RNAcentral is "partial 16S ribosomal RNA". It matches the Rfam family "Bacterial small subunit ribosomal RNA", at positions 29 to 523 of the family's 1533-position model. The record is from RNAcentral.
AUUGAACGCUGGCGGCAUGCCUUACACAUGCAAGUCGAACGGCAGCACGGGUGCUUGCACCUGGUGGCGAGUGGCGAACGGGUGAGUAAUACAUCGGAAUGUACCUUAUCGUGGGGGAUAACGCAGCGAAAGCUGUGCUAAUACCGCAUCCGCCCUGAGGGGGAAAGCGGGGGAUCGCAAGACAUCGCGCGAUUAGAGCGGCCGGUGGCUGAUUCGCGUGUUGGUGGGGUAAAAUCACACCAAGGCGACAAUCAGUGGCUGGGCUGAGAGGACGAGCAGCCACACUGGGACUGAGACCCGGCCAAGAGUCCUACGGGAGGCAGCAGAGGGGAAUUUUGGACAAGGGGGGCAGCACUGAUCCAGCAAUGCCGCGUGAGUGAAGAAGGGCUUCGGGUUGUAAAGCUCUUUUGUCAGGGAAGAAACACCGGCUCUAACACAGUCCGGGAAUGACGGUACCUGAAGAAUAAGCACCGGCUAACUACGUGCCAGCCGCCGCGGUAA